GAUGAAGAACGUAGUGAAAUGCGAUACGUAAUGUGAAUUGCAGAAUUCAGUGAAUCAUCGAGUCUUUGAACGCACAUUGCGCCCCCUGGUAUUCCGGGGGGCAUGCCUGUCCGAGCGUCAUUGCUGCCCUCAAGCACGGCUUGUGUGUUGGGCCUCCGUCCUCCUCCCGGGGGACGGGCCCGAAAGGCAGCGGCGGCACCGCGUCCGGUCCCCGAGCGUAUGGGGCUUCGUCACCCGCUCUUGUAGGCCCGGCCGGCGCUUGCCGACACAUCAAUCUUUUUUCCAGGUUGACCUCGGAUCAGGUAGGGAUACCCGCUGAACUUAAGCAUAUCAAUAAGCGGAGGA
Molecule: unclassified non-coding RNA, 345 nt
Filed under: soil metagenome
Description: partial contains 5.8S ribosomal RNA, internal transcribed spacer 2, and large subunit ribosomal RNA
Rfam family: 5.8S ribosomal RNA (bases 1-120)
Source: RNAcentral